AUUGAACGCUGGCGGCAGGCUUAACACAUGCAAGUCGAGCGAGCGGCGGACGGGUGAGUAAUGUCUGGGAAACUGCCUGAUGGAGGGGGAUAACUACUGCAAACGGUAGCUAAUACCGCAUACCAUCAGAUGCGCCCAGAUGGGAUUAGCUAGUAGGUGGGGUAAUGGCUCAACUAGGCGCCGACCCCUAGCUGGUCUGAGAGGAUGACCAGACACACUGGAACUUAGACACGGUCCAGACUACUACGGUAGGCAGCAGUGGGAAAUAUUGCACACUGGGCGAAAGCCUGAUGAAGCCAUGCCGCGUGUGUGAAGAAGGCCUUCGGGUUGUAAAGCACUUUCAGCGAGGAGGCGGUACUCGAAGAAGAAGCACCGGCUAACUCCGUGCCAGCAGCCGCGGUAAUAC
RNAcentral lists this ribosomal RNA (406 nucleotides) under uncultured bacterium. Its description in RNAcentral is "partial 16S ribosomal RNA". It matches the Rfam family "Bacterial small subunit ribosomal RNA", at positions 30 to 526 of the family's 1533-position model. The record is from RNAcentral.